UACGUAGGUGGCGAGCGUUGUCCGGAUUUACUGGGUGUAAAGGGCGCGUAGGCGGGAUGACAAGUCAGAUGUGAAAUCCAUGGGCUCAACCCAUGAACUGCAUUUGAAACUGCCAUUCUUGAGUAUCGGAGAGGCAAGCGGAAUUCCUAGUGUAGCGGUGAAAUGCGUAGAUAUUAGGAGGAACACCAGUGGCGAAGGCGGCUUGCUGGACGAAAACUGACGCUGAGGCGCGAAAGCGUGGGGAGCAAACAGG
Molecule: ribosomal RNA, 253 nt
Filed under: uncultured bacterium
Lineage: Bacteria
Description: partial 16S ribosomal RNA
Rfam family: Bacterial small subunit ribosomal RNA
Source: RNAcentral